Molecule: long non-coding RNA, 1113 nt
Organism: Piliocolobus tephrosceles (Ugandan red Colobus)
Lineage: Eukaryota; Metazoa; Chordata; Mammalia; Primates; Cercopithecidae
Source: Ensembl
UUAUAAUAUUUUAUGUUCUAAAAAAAAAUGUAUGCUUAAAUGUUACAGAAGCAAAAAGUUGCAUAAAAGGAAAUAAAUUAAUACAAUGUAAAAUUGUACGUUAAAAUAAAAUUAGUAAAAAAAAAAAAAAAAAAAAAAAAAAAAAAAGGCAAAAAAAUUGUUUUUUCUUUAAUUUCAUUUGACUUUAAAUAUUUGUUCAUAUACGUAUGGACUAGUGAAUUAUUUUGUUUUUAUUGCAUACAUUUAUGGUUUUUUUUUUAAUUUUUUUUUUUGAAUGUCUUAAUGUUUUAUUUUAGUGUGAGAAAAAUUACAGAUACGAUCUUAUUUCUCCAGCAAAGGGUUCCUGUGUUUAUUGCAGUUUUAAAUCUUAUCUUGCAAUAUGUUACUUUAUAGCUUUCAUAGUUUUUAUGAAUAUUUUAAGAGUAGUAUGUAUUAACAAGCCGUUAGAAAGUAAAAUAAUAAAUCUGUAUAUCAAAUAUACACAGUAUAUUGCAAUUUUUAGGUUAGAGCAUUUUUUUUUUAAAUGUCAUUUUUUUUGAAAAUCAUUUUUUUUGAAAGUCAUUUUUUUUUUUUGUUCUUAAUACAAAUGUGUUUGUAUUUAUAUUGCAAAGUAUUUUUGUUAUUAUUAUUACGUUUUUAGAUACGUAAACUCAAAUUACGACGACUACACAGUUAAGCUGUUGUAUGCAUUAGCAGCGGGUGUACCCCUUAACGAAGUGUUAGAUUGUAUAUUUAAGGAUGGCAUGAACAUUGAAAGAAUUACAAACAAAAUUAAUUUUCUAUUAUUUUUACCUUUACUGAUUUCAGUGUGCUCUGCUUUUUGUGCAUAUCAAUUUCAUCGCUAUGGGAGUAAGUAUAAAAGCUAGUAAUAAUAAUAAUGAUGCAACCAUAGUAGGCAUUUUUUACAUUACAUAUGCGCGUGUGAACACUUAUUUUUUUUUUUUUUUUUUUAACAUAAAAUGUAAAUGACAAUUAUAUGUUCGUAUUUGUUUACUCACUUGCACUUUUUUUUGAUUCGUUUUACUAGAAAAAUUAAAAUACAAAAAAAAAUCGAAAAACUGAUUCCCUUUUUGAAAAAUCGGAUGUAAACGAAAAUGAGUUGUAUGAUACGAU